Molecule: ribosomal RNA, 483 nt
Filed under: uncultured bacterium
Lineage: Bacteria
Description: bacterial SSU rRNA
Rfam family: Bacterial small subunit ribosomal RNA
Source: RNAcentral
GAUGAACGCUAGCGGCAGGCAUAAUACAUGCAAGUUGAACGGGAUUCAGAUAGCAAUAUUUGAUGAGAGUGGCGCACGGGUGCGUAACACGUAUGCAACUUACCUUAAACUGGGAGAUAGCCCGUGGAAACAUGGAUUAAUAUCCCAUAGUAUAAAGAACAGGCAUUUGUUUUUUAUUAAAGCUCCGGCGGUUUAAGAUGGGCAUGCGCGUCAUUAGCUAGAUGGAGAGGUAGCGGCUCACCAUGGCAACGAUGACUAGGGGGUCUGAGAGGAUGUCCCCCACACUGGUACUGAGACACGGACCAGACUCCUACGGGAGGCAGCAGUAGGGAAUAUUGGGCAAUGGACGCAAGCCUGACCCAGCCAUGCCGCGUGCAGGAAGACGGCCCUCUGGGUUGUAAACUGCUUUUAUCAGGGAAGAAACCCUUCUACGUGUAGGAGGCUGACGGUACCUGAGGAAUAAGGAUCGGCUAACUCCGUGCC